GUUUAAAUAAUUUAAAAAAAAAUAUUGGUUUGUGGAAUCAAAAAUGUUUCAAGAUAAACUUUAAAUA
RNAcentral lists this transfer RNA (67 nucleotides) under Hydropsyche trifora. RNAcentral's name for it is "tRNA-His". Lineage: Eukaryota; Metazoa; Arthropoda; Insecta; Trichoptera; Hydropsychidae. The record is from RNAcentral.